AGAGUUUGAUCCUGGCUCAGGAUGAACGCUAGCUACAGGCUUAACACAUGCAAGUCGAGGGGCAGCAUUGGGGUAGCAAUACUCAGAUGGCGACCGGCGCACGGGUGAGUAACACGUAUCCAACCUGCCGCUUACUCGGGGAUAGCCUUUCGAAAGAAAGAUUAAUACCCGAUGGUAUAAAGAGUUCGCAUGUUCUCUUUAUUAAAGAAUUUCGGUAAGCGAUGGGGAUGCGUUCCAUUAGAUUGUUGGCGGGUAACGGCCCACCAAGUCUACGAUGGAUAGGGGUUCUGAGAGGAAGGUCCCCCACAUUGGAACUGAGACACGGUCCAAACUCCUACGGGAGGCAGCAGUGAGGAAUAUUGGUCAAUGGACGAGAGUCUGAACCAGCCAAGUAGCGUGAAGGAUGACUGCCCUAUGGGUUGUAAACUUCUUUUAUAAGGGAAUAAAGUGAGGGACGUGUCCCUUUUUGUAUGUACCUUAUGAAUAAGGAUCGGCUAACUCCGUGCCAGCAGCAGC
This 516-nucleotide ribosomal RNA is filed under the name uncultured bacterium. RNAcentral describes it as "bacterial SSU rRNA". It matches the Rfam family "Bacterial small subunit ribosomal RNA", at positions 8 to 518 of the family's 1533-position model. The record is from RNAcentral.